This 465-nucleotide ribosomal RNA is filed under the name uncultured bacterium. RNAcentral describes it as "partial 16S ribosomal RNA". It matches the Rfam family "Bacterial small subunit ribosomal RNA", at positions 338 to 795 of the family's 1533-position model. The record is from RNAcentral.
CCUACGGGCGGCAGCAGUAGGGAAUCUUCCACAAUGGGCGAAAGCCUGAUGGAGCAACGCCGCGUGGGUGAAGAAGGUCUUCGGAUCGUAAAACCCUGUUGUUAGAGAAGAAAGUGCGGGAGAGUAACUGUUCACGUGUCGACGGUAUCGAACCAGAAAGCCACGGCUAACUACGUGCCAGCAGCCGCGGUAAUACGUAGGUGGCAAGCGUUAUCCGGAUUUAUGGGGCGUAAAGGGAACGCAGGCGGUCUUUUAAGUCUGAUUUGAAAGCCUUCGGCUUAACCGGAGUAGUGCAUUGGAAACUGGGAGACUUGAGUGCAGCAGAGGCGACUGGAACUCCAUGUGUAGCGGUGAAAUGCGUAGAUAUAUGGAAGAACACCAGUGGCGAAGGCGGCUCUCUGGUCUGUACCUGACGCUGAGGUUCGAAAGCGUGGGUAGCAAACAGGAUUAGAUACCCGAGUAGUC